GACUGGAUGUAAAGCAGAGAAGAACAGAAGUGGCUGGAGGAGCACAGUCAGAAGAUGCAGAGCCCUCAGCCCAGCAGAUGAUAGGCACCAGAGGGAAGGUGAGCCCGGUGAGGAAGGCAAUGCACCGACUUCUAACGUACAGUCCAACGUGACAGGGACCCUGCCUGUAAGAGGUCACGGUCAAGGGGUGUCAGACAGAAACUGCCAUGGGAGCAGCAAACUCUUGGGCAGUAUCUC
Molecule: long non-coding RNA, 237 nt
Organism: Pipra filicauda (Wire-tailed manakin)
Lineage: Eukaryota; Metazoa; Chordata; Aves; Passeriformes; Pipridae
Exons: 3
Source: RefSeq, a predicted model, not a curated record